This 230-nucleotide ribosomal RNA is filed under the name uncultured bacterium. RNAcentral's name for it is "partial 16S ribosomal RNA". It matches the Rfam family "Bacterial small subunit ribosomal RNA", at positions 562 to 791 of the family's 1533-position model. The record is from RNAcentral.
AAAGCGUGCGCAGGCGGUUAUGUAAGACAGUUGUGAAAUCCCCGGGCUCAACCUGGGAACUGCAUCUGUGACUGCAUAGCUAGAGUACGGUAGAGGGGGAUGGAAUUCCGCGUGUAGCAGUGAAAUGCGUAGAUAUGCGGAGGAACACCGAUGGCGAAGGCAAUCCCCUGGACCUGUACUGACGCUCAUGCACGAAAGCGUGGGGAGCAAACAGGAUUAGAUACCCUUGU